Molecule: transfer RNA, 70 nt
Filed under: Hemathlophorus sp.
Lineage: Eukaryota; Metazoa; Arthropoda; Insecta; Hymenoptera; Tenthredinidae
Description: tRNA-Cys
Source: RNAcentral
AAUUUUAUAGUUAAAUUAAUAACAUUAGAAUGCAAUUCUAAAAUAAUAAUAAUUAAUAUUAUUAAAAUUU